Long non-coding RNA from Oncorhynchus keta (chum salmon), 826 nucleotides. RefSeq lists it as uncharacterized. The transcript has 3 exons. Lineage: Eukaryota; Metazoa; Chordata; Actinopteri; Salmoniformes; Salmonidae. The record is from RefSeq and is a predicted model, not a curated record.
ACAAACAGGACGUGAUGUCACCAUACAGGAAGUAGAUUGCUAUCUGAAUGUCUCUGAGCUUUAGUCUCUUGGUUCAAGUGUAACAGACAGAUUAAACACUGCUAGUCUAAGACUAACAGGAAGUAGAUGUAGUAGGGUAGUUGGACUGAGGCUGUAAAACAGGACUAACAGGAAGUAGAUGUAUCAGGUAGUUGGACUGAGGCUGUAAAACAUGACUAACAGGAAGUAGAUGUAUCAGGUAGUUGGACUGAGGCUGUAAAACAUGACUAACAGGAAGUAGAUGUAUCAGGUAGUUGGACUGAGGCUGUAAAACAGGACUAACAGGAAGUAGAUGUAUCAGGUAGUUGGACUGAGGCUGUAAAACAUGACUAACAGGAAGUAGAUGUAUCAGGUAGUUGGACUGAGGCUGUAAAACAGGACUAACAGGAAGUAGAUGUAUCAGGUAGUUGGACUGAGGCUGUAAAACAGGACUAACAGGAAGUAGAUGUAUCAGGUAGUUGGACUGAGGCUGUAAAACAUGACUAACAGGAAGUAGAUGUAUCGGGUAGUUGGACUGAGGCUGUAAAACAUGACCAACAGGAAGUAGAUGUAUCAGGUAGUUGGACUGAGGCUGUAAAACAGGACUAACAGGAAGUAGAUGUAUCAGGUAGUUGGACUGAGGCUGACUAACAGGAAGUAGAUGUAUCAGGUAGUUGGACUGAGGCUGUAAAACAUGACUAACAGGAAGUAGAUGUAUCAGGUAGUUGGACUGAGGCUGUAAAACAUGACUAACAGGAAGUAGAUGUACCAGGUAGUUGGACUGAGGCUGACUAACAGGAAGUAGAUG